GACGAACGCUGGCGGCGUGCUUAACACAUGCAAGUCGAACGGAAAGGCCCUGCUUUUGUGGGGUGCUCGAGUGGCGAACGGGUGAGUAACACGUGAGUAACCUGCCCUUGACUUUGGGAUAACUUCAGGAAACUGGGGCUAAUACCGGAUAGGAGCUCCUGCUGCAUGGUGGGGGUUGGAAAGUUUCGGCGGUUGGGGAUGGACUCGCGGCUUAUCAGCUUGUUGGUGGGGUAGUGGCUUACCAAGGCUUUGACGGGUAGCCGGGCUGAGAGGGUGACCGGCCACAUUGGGACUGAGUUCCGGCCCAGACUCCUACGGGAGGCAGCCGUGGGGAAUAUUGCACAAUGGGCGGAAGCCUGAUGCAGCAACGCCGCGUGCGGGAUGACGGCCUUCGGGUUGUAAACCGCUUUCGCCUGUGACGAAGCGUGAGUGACGGUAAUGGGUAAAGAAGCCCCGGCUAACUACGUG
This 468-nucleotide ribosomal RNA is filed under the name uncultured bacterium. RNAcentral's name for it is "partial 16S ribosomal RNA". It matches the Rfam family "Bacterial small subunit ribosomal RNA", at positions 28 to 507 of the family's 1533-position model. The record is from RNAcentral.